AUAAAAGUGUGUUUUAAGAAGGUCUGCUGCGUUUUCAACAAGUUGGAGGAGAGAGAGGAUUUAUUGUCAAGACCGGAGAGGAGGGAGUUGCAGUAGUCGAGUCUGGA
Molecule: long non-coding RNA, 107 nt
Organism: Melanotaenia boesemani (Boeseman's rainbowfish)
Lineage: Eukaryota; Metazoa; Chordata; Actinopteri; Atheriniformes; Melanotaeniidae
Exons: 3
Source: RefSeq, a predicted model, not a curated record